UGAUCCAAAUUGAGUUGGGCUCAUGAUUGGAUCAACCUUGAUUAGAUCAGAGGAUAUGCCCUAAGUCGUGUUCGCACUAUGCGGAUUUUAAAGUCCACAUGGCAUCGUAGGAUGAAAAUGCAUUAAGUCGUAUUCACACCAUACGGACUCUAAAGUCUCCAUGGCGUUGUAGGAUGCAUGGCGCCCCAUCUAAUUCUCCUAAUGUGAUGAGGAGUUAGCCUAAUUAAGGGACAAGUCCUAAUGUGAUUAGGACUCAACCAUGGCGCCAUGAAAGAGGUCCAAGCCCAAUGUGAUUAGGCUCAAAUCUCUAGAUCCAAGGACGCAUGUCAUGCAUUGAUUUGAGGUGCCACCUAAGUGGAUUCUAAUCCACUUGAUCAUGCGCCAUAGACACUUGACAUUAAUCCAAAGGUGGGUGGCAAAGGUAAAAUUUAUCUCUUGUCAUGAUAAAUCCUAAGCCACCUAUUAUAAAUAAGGGGCAUGAGGCAUGUAAAGGUAUUGGAAACCUCUUCUUCUCCAUGCCUCCUCCCUCUCGCUCUCCUUCUCUUCUCCCAUGGGAGCAAGGAGGAAGUAUUCUUCCUCUUUCAAGGCGGCAUUGAAGCAUGAGAAGAGAACCAAGGAGAAGAGCCCACACACCAAGAAAAGAAGAGUUCUUUUCUUCCACGCC
This 664-nucleotide long non-coding RNA is filed under the name Phoenix dactylifera (date palm). RNAcentral describes it as "long non-coding RNA (PDAC_LNC013279)". Lineage: Eukaryota; Viridiplantae; Streptophyta; Magnoliopsida; Arecales; Arecaceae. The record is from RNAcentral.